This 459-nucleotide ribosomal RNA is filed under the name uncultured bacterium. RNAcentral describes it as "bacterial SSU rRNA". It matches the Rfam family "Bacterial small subunit ribosomal RNA", at positions 340 to 786 of the family's 1533-position model. The record is from RNAcentral.
UACGGAAGGCAGCAGUAGGGAAUCUUCCGCAAUGGGCGAAAGCCUGACGGAGCAACGCCGCGUGAGUGAUGAAGGUCUUCGGAUCGUAAAACUCUGUUAUUAGGGAAGAACAAACGUGUAAGUAACUGUGCACGUCUUGACGGUACCUAAUCAGAAAGCCACGGCUAACUACGUGCCAGCAGCCGCGGUAAUACGUAGGUGGCAAGCGUUAUCCGGAAUUAUUGGGCGUAAAGCGCGCGUAGGCGGUUUUUUUAAAGUCUGAUGUGAAAGCCCACGGCUCAACCGUGGAGGGUCAUUGGAAACUGGAAAACUUGAGUGCAGAAGAGGAAAGUGGAAUUCCAUGUGUAGCGGUGAAAUGCGCAGAGAUAUGGAGGAACACCAGUGGCGAAGGCGACUUUUCUGGGUCUGUAACUGACGCUGAUGUGCGAAAGCGUGGGGAUCAAACAGGGAUUAGAUACC